AUUGAACGCUGGCGGCAGGCCUAACACAUGCAAGUCGAGCGCGAAAAUUCCUUCGGGGAUGAGUAGAGCGGCGGACGGGUGAGUAACGCGUAGGAAUCUGCCCGGUAGUGGGGGACAACAGUCGGAAACGACUGCUAAUACCGCAUACGCCCUAAGGGGGAAAGCAGGGGAUCUUCGGACCUUGCGCUAUCGGAUGAGCCUGCGUCGGAUUAGCUUGUUGGUGGGGUAAUGGCCUACCAAGGCGACGAUCCGUAGCUGGUCUGAGAGGAUGAUCAGCCACACUGGGACUGAGACACGGCCCAGACUCCUACGGGAGGCAGCAGUGGGGAAUAUUGGACAAUGGGGGAAACCCUGAUCCAGCCAUGCCGCGUGUGUGAAGAAGGCCU
RNAcentral lists this ribosomal RNA (386 nucleotides) under uncultured bacterium. Its description in RNAcentral is "bacterial SSU rRNA". It matches the Rfam family "Bacterial small subunit ribosomal RNA", at positions 30 to 417 of the family's 1533-position model. The record is from RNAcentral.